CAACUGGGGGGUCUUACCAUGCAGUCGAACGCUGAAGCACCAGCUUGCUGGUGUGGAUGAGUGGCGAACGGGUGAGUAAUACGUGAGUAACCUGCCCUUGACUCUGGGAUAAGCCCGGGAAACUGGGUCUAAUACUGGAUGCUACAUGUCACCGCAUGGUGGUGUGUGGAAAGGGUUUACUGGUCUUGGAUGGGCUCACGGCCUAUCAGCUUGUUGGUGAGGUAAUGGCUCACCAAGGCGACGACGGGUAGCCGGCCUGAGAGGGUGACCGGCCACACUGGGACUGAGACACGGCCCAGACUCCUACGGGAGGCAGCAGUGGGGAAUAUUGCACAAUGGGCGAAAGCCUGAUGCAGCGACGCCGCGUGAGGGAUGACGGCCUUCGGGUUGUAAACCUCUUUCAGCAGGGAAGAAGCCACAAGUGACGGUACCUGCAGAAGAAGCGCCGGCUAACUACGUGCCAGCAGCCGCGGUAAUACGUAGGGCGCAAGCGUUGUCCGGAAUUAUUGGGCGUAAAGAGCUCGUAGGCGGUUUGUCGCGUCUGCUGUGAAAGCCCGGGGCUUAACCCCGGGUGUGCAGUGGGUACGGGCAGACUAGAGUGCAGUAGGGGAGACUGGAAUUCCUGGUGUAGCGGUGGAAUGCGCAGAUAUCAGGAGGAACACCGAUGGCGAAGGCAGGUCUCUGGGCUGUUACUGACGCUGAGGAGCGAAAGCAUGGGGAGCGAACAGGAUUAGAUACCCUGAUAGUCCAUGCCGUAAACGUUGGGCACUAGGUGUGGGGGACAUUCCACGUUUUCCGCGCCGUAGCUAACGCAUUAAGUGCCCCGCCUGGGAGUACGGCCGCAAGGCUUAAAACUCAAGGAAUUGACGGGGGGCCCGCACAAGCGGCGGAGCAUGCGGAUUAAUUCCGAUGCCAACGCGAAGAACUCUUACCAAGGCCUUGACCUUAUACCGGAUCGUCCGAAGAUGUUCUUCCCCCUUUGUGUGUCCGGAUACAGGGCUGCCAUGUUGCCGCCAGCUCCCGAGCCAUGUAGAAGUUGGGGU
This 1043-nucleotide ribosomal RNA is filed under the name Kocuria sp. RNAcentral describes it as "bacterial SSU rRNA". It matches the Rfam family "Bacterial small subunit ribosomal RNA", at positions 36 to 1081 of the family's 1533-position model. Lineage: Bacteria; Bacillati; Actinomycetota; Actinomycetes; Micrococcales; Micrococcaceae. The record is from RNAcentral.